Molecule: long non-coding RNA, 1892 nt
Organism: Neofelis nebulosa (Clouded leopard)
Lineage: Eukaryota; Metazoa; Chordata; Mammalia; Carnivora; Felidae
Exons: 2
Source: RefSeq, a predicted model, not a curated record
UCCUUAGUUCAGAAUGACAUAUAUACCUCAUCUUGCCUGCCUUUGGAAUUUCCAUGUCUACGUGGAUCCCCAUUAUCAAAUUUGAUUUUUUUCCUGUUAAUCUGUCUCAUGUCAAUUUGAUUCUAGAAGGACCUUUGAGUGGACAGGAAUUCUUGCUCCCUGACAAACUCUAAGCAGAUCUGUAACCAUGGCCAUUUUUAAUUCUUUUAGCAUUUACAGACAGUUAAUACUUUACUUGGAUGCUUCUCCAAAAGCUUCCUGCAAAUGCGUUUCAUCUUGAGAGAUUCAUAAAAAGGAAUUUUGACAAAUGCAGGGUUCUGAUAAUUUUAAGAUCAUAAAACUGAACUGGGUAAGAAUGUCUGGAACUAAAGGAAAAACUGAAUUUAAGCAGAUCAAGAAUAACAUAAACGAACUGAGGAGGAUAAUUAUAAGUUUAAUGACAUUUUUGUUUGAAACACUGACUUUUAAUGUUUUGUUUUUCCAGAUUUAAGAAAAGUUUUUCUCUUAAGCUAUGAUUCACAACAAUUUAUCUUUUUCUCCCUGUCUGAUCCCUCUAGAAUUCAAAAACUCUCAUUGAAUUCUUAUGUUUUUUUGACAACAUAUUUAUUUGGGUAAGUUCAAUGAGAGUUUGUUCUCCUUGCACAGGACAUGGUUAGAAACACUGGUUAUAUUACCAAGGCUUUGACUGGAAUGUCACAUUUGGGAGACAGGCAUAAAUUCAGAUAUGGCUAGAGAGUUUUAAGGCACUAAUGGUGAUCAUAUGGAGCCAGUAAAGCCUUUUGGAAGAAGAGCCUAAUACCCUGCUUGCAGGGCUCCCAGCAGGAGCCUCUCACCAGCCCUGCAAACUGAGUAUGAACAACUUGAUGAGCACUUCCGAAAAAGCUCAUACAUAAACGAUCUUCGUGCCUGGUGCUCUAUGGGCCACUCGAAAUGAUCACCAGAGACACUCAAGUUACAAACCAAGAAACUCCACCAGAUUGCCACUGCCUGCCCUCACUUUACGUAAAGAUGCUUUCGCGUGACAACUAGAAACCCUCUGGACUGGCUACAUUCAGGACUCAGAAACUGGUUUUAUAACUUGAUCCAAUCACUGGUCAUUAUUUUUCUUUUAAUUUCCAGAGAAAGGCCUUAUUUAUUACCUGGAUAAUUGAACCACAGGCCUAACUGUGAGAACACACUUGUAUCGCCGCCUCCCGAAGUGAGUUUAACUAAAAUGACCUAUCCUCAGAACUAAGACACUGGUUCAAGCAGACGGGACAAUUUAUCAGCUCAACUUUUAAAGCAAGAAAACGUCCAGGGAAGUUUCAGAAAAGGGAACCGUAGAGGCCAAGGGUAGGCCACCCCAAAAUGUGCCACUUUGGCAUACAAAUUAAAUAAAAAUUACUUAAGAAACAGCGGUUCAGAGACUCCUCUGUCACCCAGAAGGCCGGAAACACAUCUUCCAUGUGCAAAAUAGCCUCCCUGUACUAAGGAAGUAAAAGGACAUCCUUGUCGCCAGAGAUAGGGACUUCAAAACAGAGAAAGCUUCAGAAACGAACCUGGUUACUUUUUUUCUAACCCUACCAACUCAGCCUAAAUUCUGUUUAGGAUUCCCUCCUAACUGAAGUUUCCAAACACCUGCUUUCUUUAUCCUGUCAAUUCCUCAUAAAUGUAUUGUCUCUGUGUCUCAAAAGAAGAAAAAAAUCCCUGCCUUGGUCAUUUCUUCAGGUCUCAAUACCAGCCACUGUGCACACAUCCUUGAUUUUUUUGUUUUUUGAUUUUUCCUCCUGUGAACCUGUUUUGUGUAAAUUUAAUUCUUUGGCUGGCUGAAAGACCUUGAAGGUAGAGGAAGAAUUGUUCCUUCCCUACAAUCUCAAUGAGGUAGGCAGGACGAUGAUAAAAGAUAAAUACAA